This 466-nucleotide ribosomal RNA is filed under the name uncultured bacterium. RNAcentral describes it as "partial 16S ribosomal RNA". It matches the Rfam family "Bacterial small subunit ribosomal RNA", at positions 29 to 507 of the family's 1533-position model. The record is from RNAcentral.
ACGCACGCUGGCGGCGUGCUUAACACAUGCACGUCGAACGGAAAGGCCUCUUUCGGGGGGUACUCGAGUGGCGAACGGGUGAGUAACACGUGAGUAACCUGCCCUUGACUUUGGGAUAACUUCAGGAAACUGGGGCUAAUACCGGAUAGGAGCUCCUGCUGCAUGGUGGGGGUUGGAAAGUUUCGGCGGUUGGGGAUGGACUCGCGGCUUAUCAGCUUGUUGGUGGGGUAGUGGCUUACCAAGGCUUUGACGGGUAGCCGGCCUGAGAGGGUGACCGGCCACAUUGGGACUGAGAUACGGCCCAGACUCCUACGGGAGGCAGCAGUGGGGAAUAUUGCACAAUGGGUGGAAGCCUGAUGCAGCAACGCCGUGUGCGGGAUGACGGCCUUCGGGUUGUAAACCGCUUUCGCUCAUGACGAAGCUUUGUGUGACGGUAGUGGGUAAAGAAGCACCGGCUAACUACGUG